GAGUUUGAUCCUGGCUCAGGACGAACGCUGGCGGCGUGCCUAAUACAUGCAAGUCGAGCGAGCUGAAUUCAAAGAUUCCUUCGGGAUGAUUUGUUGGACGCUAGCGGCGGAUGGGUGAGUAACACGUGGGCAAUCUGCCCUAAAGACUGGGAUACCACUUGGAAACAGGUGCUAAUACCGGAUAACAACAUGAAUCGCAUGAUUCAAGUUUGAAAGGCGGCGCAAGCUGUCACUUUAGGAUGAGCCCGCGGCGCAUUAGCUAGUUGGUGGGGUAAAGGCCUACCAAGGCAAUGAUGCGUAGCCGAGUUGAGAGACUGAUCGGCCACAUUGGGACUGAGACACGGCCCAAACUCCUACGGGAGGCAGCAGUAGGGAAUCUUCCACAAUGGACGCAAGUCUGAUGGAGCAACGCCGCGUGAGUGAAGAAGGUUUUCGGAUCGUAAAGCUCUGUUGUUGGUGAAGAAGGAUAGAGGCAGUAACUGGUCUUUAUUUGACGGUAAUCAACCAGAAAGUCACGGCUAACUACGUGCCAGCAGCCGCGGUAAUACGUAGGUGGCAAGCGUUGUCCGGAUUUAUUGGGCGUAAAGCGAGCGCAGGCGGAAUGAUAAGUCUGAUGUGAAAGCCCACGGCUCAACCGUGGAACUGCAUCGGAAACUGUCAUUCUUGAGUGCAGAAGAGGAGAGUGGAACUCCAUGUGUAGCGGUGAAAUGCGUA
This 714-nucleotide ribosomal RNA is filed under the name uncultured bacterium. RNAcentral describes it as "bacterial SSU rRNA". It matches the Rfam family "Bacterial small subunit ribosomal RNA", at positions 9 to 692 of the family's 1533-position model. The record is from RNAcentral.